RNAcentral lists this ribosomal RNA (729 nucleotides) under Triticum aestivum (bread wheat). Its description in RNAcentral is "partial small subunit ribosomal RNA". The record is from RNAcentral. Lineage: Eukaryota; Viridiplantae; Streptophyta; Magnoliopsida; Poales; Poaceae.
AUGCAUCAAAUUAAUAAUGAAAUUGAAUCCAUUCUACAUGGUCUAAUUGAAAAAAGAAUGCAAGCUAUGCAAGAAGGAGAAAAUACCAAUGAUGACUUGCUCGGCUUGAUGCUUGAGUCAAACAUGAGGACCUCGGAUGACAAUGGCCAAUCCAUCUCAGGAAUGACCAUUAAAGAGGUCAUGGAGGAAUGCAAGUUGUUAUAUCUUGCUAGGACAGAAACAACAUCAAUACUGCUCACAUGGACAAUGAUCGUACUAAGUAUGCAUCCAGAGUGGCAGGACCGUGCAAGGGAGGAGGUCAUUAGCUUAUUUGGAAAAAACAAACUUGAGUAUGAAGGCGUUAACCGACUCAAAACAGUGACCACGAUUCUUUACGAGGUACUCCGAUUGUACUCGCCUGCCGGUGGGUUCAUCCGAAAAAUGUACAAGGAGAUGAAGAUUGGUGACAUCACAUACCCUGUUGGUGUCCUCAUCGAGCUUCCUGUGUUGCAGAUGAACCACGACCCACACAUAUGGGGAAGCGAUGUUCAUGAGUUCAAGCCAGAGAGGUUCGCCAACGGGAUCUCUAAGGCGUCCAAGUAUCCCGGUGCAUUCCUACCAUUCAGUUGGGGGCCACGGAUUUGCAUUAGCCAACAAUUUGCCAUGCUUGAGGGCAAGAUGGCAUUGUGCAUGAUUCUUCAAUGCUUUGAGUUUGAGCUUGCGCUCAUGCAGUGGAUAACAGUAGAGUGA